RNAcentral lists this ribosomal RNA (433 nucleotides) under uncultured Massilia sp. RNAcentral describes it as "bacterial SSU rRNA". It matches the Rfam family "Bacterial small subunit ribosomal RNA", at positions 355 to 780 of the family's 1533-position model. The record is from RNAcentral. Lineage: Bacteria; Pseudomonadati; Pseudomonadota; Betaproteobacteria; Burkholderiales; Oxalobacteraceae.
UGGGGAAUUUUGGACAAUGGGCGCAAGCCUGAUCCAGCAAUGCCGCGUGAGUGAAGAAGGCCUUCGGGUUGUAAAGCUCUUUUGUCAGGGAAGAAACGGUUCUGGAUAAUACCUGGAGCUAAUGACGGUACCUGAAGAAUAAGCACCGGCUAACUACGUGCCAGCAGCCGCGGUAAUACGUAGGGUGCAAGCGUUAAUCGGAAUUACUGGGCGUAAAGCGUGCGCAGGCGGUUUUGUAAGUCUGUCGUGAAAGCCCCGGGCUUAACCUGGGAAUUGCGAUGGAGACUGCAAGGCUUGAAUCUGGCAGAGGGGGGUAGAAUUCCACGUGUAGCAGUGAAAUGCGUAGAGAUGUGGAGGAACACCGAUGGCGAAGGCAGCCCCCUGGGUCAAGAUUGACGCUCAUGCACGAAAGCGUGGGGAGCAAACAGGAUUA